Molecule: ribosomal RNA, 488 nt
Filed under: uncultured bacterium
Lineage: Bacteria
Description: bacterial SSU rRNA
Rfam family: Bacterial small subunit ribosomal RNA
Source: RNAcentral
ACUGGCUCAGGAUGAACGCUGGCGGCGUGCUUAACACAUGCAAGUCGAACGAAGCUAAGGGAGCUUGCUCCCAAAGCUUAGUGGCGGACGGGUGAGUAACGCGUGGGUAACCUGCCCUAUAGAGGGGGAUAACGUUCGGAAACGAACGCUAAUACCGCAUAAACCAUAAAGAGCUGCAUGGCUCUGAUGGCAAAGAUUUAUCGCUAUAGGAUGGACCUGCGUUGGAUUAGCUAGUUGGUGAGAUAACAGCUCACCAAGGCGACGAUCCAUAGCCGGCCUGAGAGGGUGAACGGCCACAUUGGGACUGAGACACGGCCCAAACUCCUACGGGAGGCAGCAGUGGGGAAUAUUGCACAAUGGGCGCAAGCCUGAUGCAGCGACGCCGCGUGAAGGAAGAAGGUCUUCGGAUUGUAAACUUCUAUCAGCAGGGAAGAAUAAAUGACGGUACCUGACUAAGAAGCCCCGGCUAACUACGUGCCAGCCGCCGC